GAUGAACGCUGGCGGCGUGCCUAAUACAUGCAAGUCGAGCGAACGGACGAGAAGCUUGCUCCUCUGAUGUUAGCGGCGGACGGGUGAGUAACACGUGGAUAACCUACCUAUAAGACUGGGAUAACUUCGGGAAACCGGAGCUAAUACCGGAUAAUAUUUUGAACCGCAUGGUUCAAUAGUGAAAGACGGUCUUGCUGUCACUUAUAGAUGGAUCCGCGCUGCAUUAGCUAGUUGGUAAGGUAACGGCUUACCAAGGCAACGAUGCAUAGCCGACCUGAGAGGGUGAUCGGCCACACUGGAACUGAGACACGGUCCAGACUCCUACGGAAGGCAGCAGUAGGGAAUCUUCCGCAAUGGGCGAAAGCCUGACGGAGCAACGCCGCGUGAGUGAUGAAGGUCUUCGGAUCGUAAAACUCUGUUAUUAGGGAAGAACAUAUGUGUAAGUAACUGUGCACAUCUUGACGGUACCUAAUCAGAAAGCCACGGCUAACUACGUG
Molecule: ribosomal RNA, 497 nt
Filed under: uncultured bacterium
Lineage: Bacteria
Description: partial 16S ribosomal RNA
Rfam family: Bacterial small subunit ribosomal RNA
Source: RNAcentral